This 1569-nucleotide long non-coding RNA is filed under the name Sorghum bicolor (sorghum). RNAcentral describes it as "long non-coding RNA (SBIC_LNC007321)". Lineage: Eukaryota; Viridiplantae; Streptophyta; Magnoliopsida; Poales; Poaceae. The record is from RNAcentral.
CCGGAUCGUUAUCCGCUGCAUGGGUGCCGUCGCUUUCGGCCGGAGCCCGGAGCGAAGGCAAUGGAUGCGCCGGAGCGGGUACGGUGGACCCGGUCUGCCGGCGGACGUGGCAACGCCGGAGUGGCUCCGCUCCCGCGCGCCGCGUGGGCGCCUGCUCGUGCGCGGCUGUAAAUCCAAUCCGCGCCCGUAAUGUGUCGUCGAUGCGCUUUGCAGGCACACACGUGCAGUCUGCAGCGUGGUUGUGCUGUGUCAGCGCGACUCGGAGCCAGAAGAUGCAGAGGCCUGAUCUUGUUCGGUGUUUGUGAGGGGAAUUCGCUGCGGAGAGCCGGAGACACCGCAGAGAUGAGAGGCUGCUUGGCGGUGGCGGUACGGUGCCGACGCGCCGUGAUGACGCUGCGCGUCGAAGAAAUCUUGUGGGGUGCCCACGUGCGCGGCAGCUCAGGAGAGUGACAGCACUGACGUACACGUAGGAGUACUGCGGUCUGCGGUGCCCGGUGGAUCCAUGGAGGGAGCGCGGUUCACGGGUGGAUCGCCGUGGACAGGACGAGGGCUAGAUGUCCGGUAGGCUUGAGCCGCCAGCGCAAAUCUGUUAACAGCUUUCUGGGCUCCAUAUGCGAGCCGAAUACUCUGAAACAUAUGACUACGGGAAGACAGAUGUAGGCGGGCCAACAAAAUGGGCCGUUCUAUGUGUUGCUCAAGCGGGCCUGCUAUCGUUUCUGCAAAGGGAAAAAAAAAUCUAUGGAGUCUCAGAGUUGCGGUAUGAUUUUUCUAGCUCCUCAAUCUAUAUAUCUUCCUAAUAAUAGACUAAUAUAACAUAGGUAAAAAUUCUCUCUCAUUUUUUUUGGUCUGACCCUUCCUAACUAACUUUGUGAAUGUGUUCGUAUGUCUACAGCCCUCCCUAUUUGUAUAUAACUCAUAGUUGGGUUAUUUAAGAAGGAAACAAUAAUCAUGGUCGUCAAUAAACAAAAGGAGAAUGACCAACCCAAAGUACAUUGGCGGUUAGGAAGUUCCACCUCUUUGUUACUUUGGGUCAAUCAGGAUUUUAGUGUUGCAAUGGUUCCAAUCAACUUGAUGGCACUACCUUCUUAGCUCCUUGCUUUUCACUACUGUGGACACCAAAUUCUCAUAGGCAACUUCAAAGGUCACCCACUUUUGGUAUAGAUAGGAUGUUCAGGCUGCUUUUGAUCACUAGUUUUUUUACUAAACUUGGGAGGCGAUCCUUGGACAAACACUAGAUGGCUAGGUAUUUGUGUAUUUCCAACUCUUGUAAUGUACCUUGGAGGCAAUCCUUGGGCAAUGACUGGAUGACCACACGUUGGUAUAUGAAUAUUCUCUUGAGGUUGGGAAUUCUAUGCAAACCUAGAGGGAGGCCUCGCAUCUUGUCACAGUACUAGAAGUUGAUUGUUCUUUUUUAUGAAAUCACCAUGGAGGGGGGAGAAUCCCCAACCUGAAUAUAUCAAUGAUUUGGCCCUUAUGGUCUGAUGUCAAGGUUACAAUAAAACCACUUCAAUACUAGAGGUUGAUUGUUCUUGAGAGAAGUAAGGAGCUAAAGUAGCUCAUUCUGCUACU